Molecule: ribosomal RNA, 453 nt
Filed under: uncultured Desulfocapsa sp.
Lineage: Bacteria; Pseudomonadati; Thermodesulfobacteriota; Desulfobulbia; Desulfobulbales; Desulfocapsaceae
Description: bacterial SSU rRNA
Rfam family: Bacterial small subunit ribosomal RNA
Source: RNAcentral
GCGGUGGAGCAUGUGUUUAAUUCGAUGCAACGCGAAGAACCUUACCUGGGCUUGACAGUCCCGGAAUCCCCUUGGAAACAAGGGAGUGCCUUCGGGGAACCUGGAGACAGGUGCUGCAUGGCUGUCGUCAGCUCGUGUCGUGAGAUGUAGGGUUAAGUCCCGCAACGAGCGCAACCCUUGUCUUUAAUUGCCAUCAUUGAGUUGGGCACUUUAAAGAGACUGCCGGUGUCAAACCGGAGGAAGGUGGGGAUGACGUCAAGUCCUCAUGGCCUUUAUGACCAGGGCUACACACGUACUACAAUGGCCGGUGCAAAGGGCAGCGACACAGCGAUGUGAAGCGAAUCCCGAAAAGCCGGUCUCAGUCCGGAUUGGAGUCUGCAACUCGACUCCAUGAAGUUGGAAUCGCUAGUAACCGCGGAUCAGCACGCCGCGGUGAAUACGUUCCCGGGCCUU